UCGAUAUGUGAAUACAUAGCAUAUCAGAAGGCACACCCGGAGAACUGAAACAUCUUAGUACCCGGAGGAAGAGAAAGAAAAUUCGAUUCCCUUAGUAGCGGCGAGCGAAAUGGGAAGAGCCCAAACCAACAAGCUUGCUUGUUGGGGUUGUAGGACACUCUAUACGGAGUUACAAAGGACGACAUUAGACGAAUCAUCUGGAAAGAUGAAUCAAAGAAGGU
RNAcentral lists this ribosomal RNA (221 nucleotides) under Staphylococcus aureus. RNAcentral describes it as "partial 23S ribosomal RNA". It matches the Rfam family "Bacterial large subunit ribosomal RNA", at positions 150 to 365 of the family's 2925-position model. Lineage: Bacteria; Bacillati; Bacillota; Bacilli; Caryophanales; Staphylococcaceae. The record is from RNAcentral.